This 111-nucleotide microRNA precursor is filed under the name Phlebotomus papatasi. RNAcentral describes it as "microRNA mir-286". It matches the Rfam family "mir-286 microRNA precursor family". The record is from RNAcentral. Lineage: Eukaryota; Metazoa; Arthropoda; Insecta; Diptera; Psychodidae.
CUGAAGUCAAAGUGGGAAAAUCGGUCUAAUCUUUUGUUCUUCAAUUUGAUUUUAUUUUGCUUAAUUAAAGAACAAAAGAAUAGACCGAAUUUCCCACUUUGACUUCAGCUA